CAACCCUCAAGCCCCCGGGCUUGGUGUUGGGGAUCGGCGAGCCUCCGCGCCCGCCGUCCCCUAAAUCUAGUGGCGGUCUCGCUGUAGCUUCCUCUGCGUAGUAGCACACCUCGCACUGGGAAACAGCGCGGCCACGCCGUUAAACCCCCAACUUCUGAA
RNAcentral lists this unclassified non-coding RNA (159 nucleotides) under Dactylonectria macrodidyma. Its description in RNAcentral is "partial internal transcribed spacer 2". The record is from RNAcentral. Lineage: Eukaryota; Fungi; Ascomycota; Sordariomycetes; Hypocreales; Nectriaceae.